This 118-nucleotide non-coding RNA is filed under the name Kurthia sp. 11kri321. RNAcentral describes it as "SAM riboswitch aptamer (S box leader)". It matches the Rfam family "SAM riboswitch aptamer (S box leader)". From Rfam's summary of the family: The SAM riboswitch is found upstream of a number of genes which code for proteins involved in methionine or cysteine biosynthesis in Gram-positive bacteria. The record is from Rfam by way of RNAcentral. Lineage: Bacteria; Bacillati; Bacillota; Bacilli; Caryophanales; Caryophanaceae. RNAcentral also lists the same sequence under 1 other name.
CUCUUAUCCCGAGCUGGUGGAGGGUCAGGCCCUAUGAAACCCGGCAACCUGCAUUUCAUUUCACGAGAUGCGCUGGUGCUAAUCUGAAUGCAAGGAUUCAUUCCUUGAACGAUAAGAG